This 1054-nucleotide ribosomal RNA is filed under the name Holwaya mucida. Its description in RNAcentral is "SSU rRNA". It matches the Rfam family "Eukaryotic small subunit ribosomal RNA", at positions 66 to 1128 of the family's 1831-position model. The record is from RNAcentral. Lineage: Eukaryota; Fungi; Ascomycota; Leotiomycetes; Thelebolales; Holwayaceae.
UAUAGCAUAUAUACAGUGAAACUGCGAAUGGCUCAUUAAAUCAGUUAUCGUUUAUUUGAUAGUACCUUACUACUUGGAUAACCGUGGUAAUUCUAGAGCUAAUACAUGCUAAAAACCUCGACUUCGGAAGGGGUGUAUUUAUUAGAUAAAAAACCAAUGCCCUUCGGGGCUCCUUGGUGAUUCAUGAUAACUUAACGAAUCGCAUGGCCUUGUGCCGGCGAUGGUUCAUUCAAAUUUCUGCCCUAUCAACUUUCGAUGGUAGGAUAGUGGCCUACCAUGGUUUCAACGGGUAACGGGGAAUUAGGGUUCUAUUCCGGAGAGGGAGCCUGAGAAACGGCUACCACAUCCAAGGAAGGCAGCAGGCGCGCAAAUUACCCAAUCCCGACACGGGGAGGUAGUGACAAUAAAUACUGAUACAGGGCUCUUUUGGGUCUUGUAAUUGGAAUGAGUACAAUUUAAAUCCCUUAACGAGGAACAAUUGGAGGGCAAGUCUGGUGCCAGCAGCCGCGGUAAUUCCAGCUCCAAUAGCGUAUAUUAAAGUUGUUGCAGUUAAAAAGCUCGUAGUUGAACCUUGGGCCUGGCUGGCCGGUCCGCCUCACCGCGUGCACUGGUCCGGCCGGGUCUUUCCUUCUGGGGAGCCGCAUGCCCUUCACUGGGUGUGUCGGGGAACCAGGACUUUUACUUUGAAAAAAUUAGAGUGUUCAAAGCAGGCCUAUGCUCGAAUACAUUAGCAUGGAAUAAUAGAAUAGGACGUGUGGUUCUAUUUUGUUGGUUUCUAGGACCGCCGUAAUGAUUAAUAGGGAUAGUCGGGGGCAUCAGUAUUCAAUUGUCAGAGGUGAAAUUCUUGGAUUUAUUGAAGACUAACUACUGCGAAAGCAUUUGCCAAGGAUGUUUUCAUUAAUCAGUGAACGAAAGUUAGGGGAUCGAAGACGAUCAGAUACCGUCGUAGUCUUAACCAUAAACUAUGCCGACUAGGGAUCGGGCGAUGUUAUCUUUUUGACUCGCUCGGCACCUUACGAGAAAUCAAAGUUUUUGGGUUCUGGGGGGAGUAUGG